CUGGCUCAGGAUGAACGCUGGCUACAGGCUUAACACAUGCAAGUCGAGGGGCAGCAUGGUCGUGGCUUGCCACGGCUGAUGGCGACCGGCGCACGGGUGAGUAACGCGUAUCCAACCUUCCCCCCGGUAGGGGACAGCCCGGUGAAAACCGGAUUAAUACCCUAUGCCGUCACACCGGGGCAUCUUAAUGUGACGAAAGAUUUAUCGCCUGGGGAUGGGGAUGCGUCUGAUUAGGCAGUAGGCGGGGCAACGGCCCACCUAGCCACCGAUCAGUAGGGGUUCUGAGAGGAAGGUCCCCCACAUUGGAACUGAGACACGGUCCAAACUCCUACGGGAGGCAGCAGUGAGGAAUAUUGGUCAAUGGGCGGAAGCCUGAACCAAGCCAAGUAGCGUGAGGGAUGACGGCCCUACGGGUUGUAAACCUCUUUUAUGCGGGGAUAACCGCCCCCACGUGUGGGGGCCUGCAGGUACCGCAUGAAUAAGGACCGGCUAAUUCCGUGCCAGCCGCCGC
This 511-nucleotide ribosomal RNA is filed under the name uncultured bacterium. RNAcentral's name for it is "bacterial SSU rRNA". It matches the Rfam family "Bacterial small subunit ribosomal RNA", at positions 19 to 518 of the family's 1533-position model. The record is from RNAcentral.